GAAUAUUGGACAAUGGGGGGAACCCUGAUCCAGCCAUGCCGCGUGUGUGAAGAAGGCCUUUUGGGUGUAAAGCACUUUAAGCGAGGAGGAGGCUACUCUAGUUAAUACCAAGAGAUAGUGGACGUUACUCGCAGAAGAAGCCCCGGCUAACUCAGUGCUAGACGCCGCGGUAAUACAGAGGGUGCAAGCGUUAAUCGGAGUUACUGGGCGUAAAGCACGCGUAGGUGGCCAAUUAAGUCAAAUGUGAAAUCCCCGAGCUUAACUUGGGAAUUGCAUUCGAUACUGGUUGGCUAGAGUAUGGGAGAGGAUGGUAGAAUUCCAGGUGUAGCGGUGAAAUGCGUAGAGAUCUGGAGGAAUACCGAUGGCGAAGGCAGCCAUCUGGCCUAAUACUGACACUGAGGUGCGAAAGCAUGGGGAGCAAAC
Molecule: ribosomal RNA, 423 nt
Filed under: uncultured bacterium
Lineage: Bacteria
Description: bacterial SSU rRNA
Rfam family: Bacterial small subunit ribosomal RNA
Source: RNAcentral